AUCACUUUAAUAUUUAACACCGGAAUAUACCUUAUAAAAGAUGGGGUAAUUAGCACUGGUAUAACUUAUACCUUCUUCUUAUAAAUUACACAAUUAUCAUUAUUAAUACAACAUACCAAACAGUAAAUAAACAACAAUCUCAGCAUAACUACUCUAAGCAUAAUUUACUCCAACAUAACUUAUACCGGUAUAUAAGCCCUAUUCCAACCAAACGACCCCUUAUUGCUCAAGUUGCAAGAUUAAAGGAAUGUAAUGCCCGAAAUAUUUGCUCAGCGUCUCAAAUCUGGACAACAGAAAGCUGCUCCUCUGGCACUCUCUGAUCUACAAAUUUUUUUUCUGAAAUCAAAUGAUGAGAAAGUUAAAAGAGUAGCUAGCUACAAAAUAGAACAAAUAUAGAAAAAAUGCAUGUCGCAUAACAAAUAAUCUUUACAUAUAUACUUCAGAACCCAGAAAUAGCAAAACAAGAUCUAGAGGAGACUAAAAUAUAGGAAGAAAUACUGGAUAUAAUCAGCUGUUAAAGAUUUUAAAAACAUAGGUAACACUGGAUUAAACAGAAAGCAGACUAUAUAACAAAUAUCUAAGAAACUACAGCAGACAAGAGUAAUUAAAGGGAUAAUAUUAUAGGGAAAAUAAGAUGAAGAGAGAUGAAUGUAGAGCUCCCUUCAAUCCAAAAAAGGAUCCAACUUAGAAUAAUGAAGCUCCUGACAUAUGCAAGCCACAAACCUAUCCAACAAUAUUAUUAUUAUUGAUAGGGCUGAGGGAUCCAUAGGUCAGCAGCUUAAUUUUUACCAGUUAGAUCCUCUGUUGAACUUGAAGGAACUCCACUCUCAAAACCCUAAUCUUUCUUACAUCAUCCAAACAUAAAAAGGACAAAAAAGUCAAUGCACGCUCUUACAAUAACCACAACCCUAAUCCUGUCCAAAAACUACCCACCAACUUUAUUCAACUCCUAUCACCUACCAUUCCCAGACCAAACCUCCAUAGCAACAACGAAGAUCGUGAGAAAAAAAAAAUACUUCAAGAAAAUAACAUAUGCAACAAUAAAUAAAUCAAGUAAAAGCUGAUAAUAAAAAGAAAAGCCCUAGGAUAUACAACAAAACCGGCCGCUCGUUAGACCAAACAGGAAGAAGUGAGUAUAUGCCACAACGUUUAGAUAACAAAA
RNAcentral lists this long non-coding RNA (1162 nucleotides) under Nicotiana tabacum (common tobacco). Its description in RNAcentral is "long non-coding RNA (NTAB_LNC015895)". Lineage: Eukaryota; Viridiplantae; Streptophyta; Magnoliopsida; Solanales; Solanaceae. The record is from RNAcentral.